Molecule: ribosomal RNA, 467 nt
Filed under: uncultured bacterium
Lineage: Bacteria
Description: partial 16S ribosomal RNA
Rfam family: Bacterial small subunit ribosomal RNA
Source: RNAcentral
GAUGAACGCUGGCAGCAUGCUUAACACAUGCAAGUCGACCUGACUGUGGGGAUUUUACUUAGUCUUGUGUUGCGGACGGGCGAGUAACGCGUAAAUGACUUGCCUCCCAGCUAGGGACAACAUAUGUAAACGAAUGCGAAUUCCUAAUAUUAGAAUAAUAGAGCAUCCUAGAAUUAUGAAAGCUAUAAGCGCUGUGAGAGGGCUUUGAGUCAAAUUCGCUAGUUGGAGAAGUAACUGCUCAACAAGGCGAUGAUGGGUAGCCGGCCUGGGAGGGAGAUCGGCCACAAGGGGACACAGGCACGGCCCUUACUCCUACGGCCGGAAGCAGUGGGGAAUAGUCGAAGAAGGACCGAGAGUCUGAUCAAGCACUUCUGUGUGCACGAUGAAGUUUUUAGGAAUGUAAAGUGCUUUCAGUUGGGAAGAAACAAAUGACGGUACCAACAGAAGAAGUGACGGCUAAAUACGUG